This 250-nucleotide ribosomal RNA is filed under the name uncultured bacterium. RNAcentral's name for it is "partial 16S ribosomal RNA". It matches the Rfam family "Bacterial small subunit ribosomal RNA", at positions 525 to 775 of the family's 1533-position model. The record is from RNAcentral.
ACGUAGGGGGCGAGCGUUAUCCGGAUUCAUUGGGCGUAAAGCGCUCGUAGGCGGCCUGCUAGGUCGGGAGUCAAAUGCGGGGGCCCAACCCCCGGCCGCUCCCGAUACCGGCGGGCUUGAGUUUGGUAGGGGAAGGCGGAAUUCCCGGUGUAGCGGUGGAAUGCGCAGAUAUCGGGAAGAACACCGGUGGCGAAGGCGGCCUUCUGGGCCACAACUGACGCUGAGGAGCGAAAGCUGGGGGAGCGAACAG